AUGUUUUUCUGUCUUCUUUUGUGGAUUCCAACUGAAUUGUCAUCUUUCCCGCCUUCCGCGCGGUUUCUUGGCUCAAGAUAUUCUGAUUCCCCUAGUAGUCUGACUGCUCUUUCUCUCAAGCGAAGUGCUUCUCGGGACAAAGGGCAGAAGGGAAGGUUCGGUAGUAGGUUCCAGCUUGCACAUGCAGGAUCCCCCCUUCGUCUUUCUUUUCUCCCGGAUAUAGCGCGAGAGAAACGCGAACAGCUGAUUCUCAAGCAGGGGAUUCGUCGAAAACAACCUAUCUGUCUACUUGCUUUCAGUUCUGUUCCCGUCUCGAUCUUAGCUUAA
Molecule: non-coding RNA, 327 nt
Organism: Vicia faba (fava bean)
Lineage: Eukaryota; Viridiplantae; Streptophyta; Magnoliopsida; Fabales; Fabaceae
Source: the annotation of a GenBank genome assembly